This is a long non-coding RNA of Peromyscus eremicus (cactus mouse), 2118 nucleotides long. RefSeq lists it as uncharacterized. NCBI's taxonomy places the organism in Eukaryota, Metazoa, Chordata, Mammalia, Rodentia, Cricetidae. The transcript has 2 exons. The record is from RefSeq and is a predicted model, not a curated record.
UUGUUUGAGUGGAUUAGUGUCAUGUUUUUGUUAGUAAGAAAUGCAAAUGGGGUAUACUAAGAGACUACUUUUAAAGUGUAAAGAGUUUUAUUCUUUUGGAUGUUUUGCUAAGUUUUCAAAGUGUUAAUGGUUAGAUUGAGAAGAUUGCUUUUCAAUAUGGGUUUAUAGGAAUUGUAUAAGUUUGGGUUCCUCUAACUAGGUUUGAGAUUUUGUUUAAAAAAUUAUAAAGAAAAGGAGGAGUUAUGAGAUUGAAUUAUGUUUGCAGAAACCUAUUGAUAUUAAUGUACCCUGGUUUUGUGGAGUUAAGGAAAUAUUUAAGUUUGAUGUGAAUACAUUGAAGUUUUUCCUAAGUUCUGUUAGCAAGAAAAUUCAAAUGAUUGAGUUAAAGUUGUAAGACGGAGAAAAUUGUUAACUAUAUUUAGCACCAUAUAUGCUAAUUCAAAUGGUUCUGUUAAGAGUUUGCUUUGAGUUGUAAGAUUGAGAGAAUUGUGACUACGUAUAGCAAUAUUUAUGUUAACCUGUUAAUGGUAAUGAUGAAGCUAAGGGAUUCUUUAAGUUUGUAGUCACCUUAAGAGUUUUUGGUUUAGAAAGGGCUUGAGGCAGCUAAGACUACUGUAGUCACCUUGGACCUAAUUCAAAAGAGAAAUGCCAUCUUUAUCAUCAUCUACUCCCAUACUGGGAGGUGUAACAGCUAUGGAGAUUGCUGUAAGCCAUUAAUAGUUAUUUUUUUUAUAUAUAUAUUAAGAAAGGGGGACCUGUGGGAGCCCGUUGUCGGGUUCCUUGUGGCUUUACCCAGCAGGUCUGCAUAGAGGAUGAUUAGACCACGGGCCUAAGUGCAGGUGUCUGGGAUGGUCUGCACUUGGCUGUGCUGGGGGAGGAGGUCUUUUGCUCCACCCCUUGACUUCUCUAUAAAAACCCUGGGGCAGAGACAGUCGGGCCGUUGCAAUAGGUUCCAGGCCCUCUUGAGGCUAUCCUUUGUUUUCUAUCUGUUUAUCUCCGCGAGAUUCUCUGCAAUAAAUCCUUCUAUCUAAUAUUUCCUGCUGCUCGCACUCAAGAAAACUCUGGGGAACUGUGGGGGUGGUUGGGUAAACGCCCCACAGUUAUUAGAAUACGUAAAAGCAAGAUAUAAAGGUCUGAGGAUAAAAAAGGCUUAAAUAAUGAUUUAAAAAAAAUGACUUGAGAUAUAUAAAAAAAAAUAAAACAUAUUUCAGAUUUCUUUGUCUUGCUAUUCUGCUGUUACAUUGAGACUCCAAAGGGUCAUAGUUGUAAAAAUGUCUGUCUACUCUACAGGUAUGAAUGAAAAAUGUGGCCACAUGUAAGUUUGGUUUUAAAUGUCUGAGUUUGCAUGUCCUUUGUGUUAAGGAAUACAAGUUAAUACUAGUCAUCUGGCUAUUCAGAUACUAGUUUAAAGCAUAAACUGUUCUAUUUAAAUAAAAAAAAAACUAAGAGGUAUAUUUGACUAAUAUAUCUAUAGGAGAACAAAUUGGCCUGGUUAUUGUUACCAAACUUAGAGAUAUUUUCAAGAUUAGGCCUAGAUUUGUUUGGCUCAGAUACAUUUAAUAGAUAAUGGUCCUCAAACCUGUCAAAGAUCUGAUGAAUAUGGCAUUUACAUUAUUUGAUAAAAAGCUUACUAUAGCAAACAGAGACUCCGAGCUCCCCAGCUCCUAGAAAUGACUCCCAAGGUCUCCAAAGAAGAUAUGGAACAAUGACAAGAAGAUGCCACCUGAAUUGCGGACAACACCGACCACUGGGCAAGACGCUCUGACUCAACACCUGCUGCCAGGGAUCUGGCAUAGAAGAAUGGACAAAUGAGACACUGACAAGAUAAAGUCAGUCUUUCUCUUCCACAGGGAGAAUUUCACAUUAUGGGCCCAGCAGCCAAGACUGAUGCUGUCCUAACACCUGUCCUGCCAACACUAUGAAGACUAUAGGAGCCUGGGACGAUGGCAGUCUGGGUUUCCACUUGGCUGACAGAUACAUCCAAGCAUCAUUUGCUGGUGACAUCCUACUGCAAAUGACUGUGAGCCCUGAACUUGCUGAAAGCUGAUAUGGACCAAUUCAGCCGAUAUGCAUACCAUCUCUUCAGCUGGUCAAUAAAACAUUCCCUUUUGUCUUUGA